GGCGCAAGCCUGAUGCAGCCAUGCCGCGUGUGUGAAGAAGGCCUUCGGGUUGUAAAGCACUUUCAGUCGUGAGGAAGGUGGUGUAGUUAAUAGCUGCAAUAAUUUGACGUUAGCGACAGAAGAAGCACCGGCUAACUCCGUGCCAGCAGCCGCGGUAAUACGGAGGGUGCGAGCGUUAAUCGGAAUUACUGGGCGUAAAGCGCAUGCAGGUGGUUUGUUAAGUCAGAUGUGAAAGCCCGGGGCUCAACCUCGGAAUAGCAUUUGAAACUGGCAGACUAGAGUACUGUAGAGGGGGGUAGAAUUUCAGGUGUAGCGGUGAAAUGCGUAGAGAUCUGAAGGAAUACCGGUGGCGAAGGCGGCCCCCUGGACAGAUACUGACACUCAGAUGCGAAAGCGUGGGGAGCAAACAGGAUUAGAUACCCUGGUAGUCCACGCCGUAAACGAUGUCUACUUGGAGGUUGUGGCCUUGAGCCGUGGCUUUCGGAGCUAACGCGUUAAGUAGACCGCCUGG
Molecule: ribosomal RNA, 511 nt
Filed under: Vibrio sp. QAM_1_1
Lineage: Bacteria; Pseudomonadati; Pseudomonadota; Gammaproteobacteria; Vibrionales; Vibrionaceae
Description: bacterial SSU rRNA
Rfam family: Bacterial small subunit ribosomal RNA
Source: RNAcentral